GGGGCCGUAGCUCAGUCGGGAGAGCGCCUGCUUUGCAAGCAGGAAGUCAGGGGUUCGAGUCCCCUCGGCUCCACCA
Molecule: transfer RNA, 76 nt
Filed under: Dehalococcoidia bacterium
Lineage: Bacteria; Bacillati; Chloroflexota; Dehalococcoidia
Description: tRNA-Ala
Rfam family: tRNA
About the family: Transfer RNA (tRNA) molecules are approximately 80 nucleotides in length. Their secondary structure includes four short double-helical elements and three loops (D, anti-codon, and T loops). Further hydrogen bonds mediate the characteristic L-shaped molecular structure. tRNAs have two regions of fundamental functional importance: the anti-codon, which is responsible for specific mRNA codon recognition, and the 3' end, to which the tRNAs corresponding amino acid is attached (by aminoacyl-tRNA synthetases). tRNAs cope with the degeneracy of the genetic code in two manners: having more than one tRNA (with a specific anti-codon) for a particular amino acid; and 'wobble' base-pairing, i.e. permitting non-standard base-pairing at the 3rd anti-codon position.
Source: RNAcentral